ACUAUCUUGGCAGAAUUAGUGCUAUAAAUUUAGAAUUUAUAUAUGUGUACAUAUUACACAGAUAGUA
This 67-nucleotide transfer RNA is filed under the name Asclepios apicalis. Its description in RNAcentral is "tRNA-Leu". Lineage: Eukaryota; Metazoa; Arthropoda; Insecta; Hemiptera; Gerridae. The record is from RNAcentral.